This 440-nucleotide ribosomal RNA is filed under the name uncultured bacterium. Its description in RNAcentral is "partial 16S ribosomal RNA". It matches the Rfam family "Bacterial small subunit ribosomal RNA", at positions 338 to 795 of the family's 1533-position model. The record is from RNAcentral.
CCUACGGGUGGCAGCAGUGGGGGAUAUUGCACAAUGGGGGAACCCCUGAUGCAGCGACGCCGCGUGUGGGAAGACGGUCCUCUGGAUUGUAAACCACUGUCCCCAGGGACGAAGAUGACGGUACCUGGGGAGGAAGCUCCGGCUAACUACGUGCCAGCAGCCGCGGUAAUACGUAGGGAGCAAGCGUAGUCCGGAAUUACUGGGUGUAAAGGGAGCGUAGGCGGGAUGGCAAGUUGGGUGUUAAAUCUACCGGCUCAACUGGGAGUCGCACUCAAAACUGCUAUUCUUGAGUGGAGUAGAGGCAGGCGGAAUGCCUAGUGUAGCGGUGAAAUGCGUAGAUAUUAGGAGGAACACCAGUGGCGAAGGCGGCCUGCUGGGCUUUUACUGACGCUGAGGCUCGAAAGUGUGGGGAGCAAACAGGAUUAGAUACCCGAGUAGUC